AACGAACGCUGGCGGCAGGCCUAACACAUGCAAGUCGAGCGCCCUUUCGGGGGAGCGGCGGACGGGUGAGUAACGCGUGGGAAUAUGCCCUUCUCUACGGAAUAGCCUCGGGAAACUGAGAGUAAUACCGUAUACGCCCGAUGGUGGAAAGAUUUAUCGGGGAAGGAUUAGCCCGCGUUGGAUUAGGUAGUUGGUGGGGUAAUGGCCUACCAAGCCGACGAUCCAUAGCUGGUUUGAGAGGAUGAUCAGCCACACUGGGACUGAGACACGGCCCAGACUCCUACGGGAGGCAGCAGUGGGGAAUCUUAGACAAUGGGGGCAACCCUGAUCGAGCCAUGCCGCGUGAGUGAUGAAGGCCUUAGGGUUGUAAAGCUCUUUCAGCUGGGAAGAUAAUGACGGUACCAGCAGAAGAAGCCCCGGCUAACUCCGUG
This 431-nucleotide ribosomal RNA is filed under the name uncultured bacterium. Its description in RNAcentral is "partial 16S ribosomal RNA". It matches the Rfam family "Bacterial small subunit ribosomal RNA", at positions 29 to 507 of the family's 1533-position model. The record is from RNAcentral.